Molecule: ribosomal RNA, 774 nt
Filed under: uncultured Neocallimastigales
Lineage: Eukaryota; Fungi; Neocallimastigomycota; Neocallimastigomycetes; Neocallimastigales
Description: partial large subunit ribosomal RNA
Rfam family: Eukaryotic large subunit ribosomal RNA
Source: RNAcentral
UAUCUCUGUAGAGUCUGCAUAUCAAUAAGCGGAGGAAAAGAAACUAACAAGGAUUCCCCUAGUAACGGCGAGUGAAGCGGGAAGAGCUCAAAUUUGAAAUCUUAAAGGGUUUCCCUUUACGAAUUGUAGUUUAAAGAAGUGUUUUCUGUUGAGGUUUUGGUAAAAGUUCUUUGGAAUAGGACAUCAUAGAGGGUGAGAAUCCCGUAUUUGACCUUUACUUUCAACUUUGUGAUACACUUUCAAAGAGUCGGAUUGUUUGGGAAUGCAGUCCAAAAUGGGUGGUAAAUUUCAUCUAAAGCUAAAUACUGGCGAGAGACCGAUAGCGAACAAGUACCGUGAGGGAAAGAUGAAAAGAACUUUGAAAGGAGAGUUAAACAGUACGUGAAAUCGUCAAAAGGGAAGCGUUUGACACCAGUGUUGUUUUUCUGAAAAUCAAUUAAAGAACUGUUUAUGCUAAGUUGUUUAGACUUUAUCAGCUAACUGUUUAGUUUUGAGCUUUUCUUUAAUGCACUUUUCAGUUAACAAGUCAACAUCAAUUUCUUUUGCUGUAAAAAGGCUUGAGGAAGGUGGCUUGAGAUUCGUCUUAAGUGUUUAUAGCCUCUUGCCUAUGCAGUCGGAGAGAUUGAGGUCUGCAGCGUAGAUCCUUCGGGGCUAAAUGCAUUUGUGCUAAGUUAUAGCAUUUUAUAGACAACUUGUUGACUAUGAUUUGUCUUGUAGCUUACUCGCUUAUGUUAUUUUACCUACGCUUAGGAUGUUGACGAUCAGCUGAGCGCG